RNAcentral lists this non-coding RNA (192 nucleotides) under Halomonas campaniensis. The record is from RNAcentral. Lineage: Bacteria; Pseudomonadati; Pseudomonadota; Gammaproteobacteria; Oceanospirillales; Halomonadaceae.
CCUAGAAUAGCUGCCGUCGGUGUUCCUCACGGAACUUAAUAGAGAAUCCGCUGCGGCUUAGCCGCGAAACGGAACUGCCCCCGCAACUGUAGGCGGUUAGCGAUGCUCAAUGAGCCACUGGACGUAUUGUCUGGGAAGGCGAGCUAGCCAUGACCCGUCAGUCAGGAGACCUGCCGACCAUGUUAAUUAAUC